Molecule: transfer RNA, 72 nt
Filed under: Hirschia baltica ATCC 49814
Lineage: Bacteria; Pseudomonadati; Pseudomonadota; Alphaproteobacteria; Hyphomonadales; Hyphomonadaceae
Rfam family: tRNA
About the family: Transfer RNA (tRNA) molecules are approximately 80 nucleotides in length. Their secondary structure includes four short double-helical elements and three loops (D, anti-codon, and T loops). Further hydrogen bonds mediate the characteristic L-shaped molecular structure. tRNAs have two regions of fundamental functional importance: the anti-codon, which is responsible for specific mRNA codon recognition, and the 3' end, to which the tRNAs corresponding amino acid is attached (by aminoacyl-tRNA synthetases). tRNAs cope with the degeneracy of the genetic code in two manners: having more than one tRNA (with a specific anti-codon) for a particular amino acid; and 'wobble' base-pairing, i.e. permitting non-standard base-pairing at the 3rd anti-codon position.
Source: Rfam by way of RNAcentral
GCCCGAGUAGCUCAGGGGUAGAGCAGAGGAUUGAAAAUCCUCGUGUCGGUGGUUCGAUUCCGCCCUCGGGCA